Molecule: transfer RNA, 69 nt
Filed under: Ictidomys tridecemlineatus (thirteen-lined ground squirrel)
Lineage: Eukaryota; Metazoa; Chordata; Mammalia; Rodentia; Sciuridae
Description: Spermophilus tridecemlineatus (thirteen-lined ground squirrel) tRNA
Rfam family: tRNA
About the family: Transfer RNA (tRNA) molecules are approximately 80 nucleotides in length. Their secondary structure includes four short double-helical elements and three loops (D, anti-codon, and T loops).
Source: Rfam by way of RNAcentral
GGAGUUGUGGCUCAGUGGUAGAGCGCUCACCUAGCACGUGUGAGGCCCUGGGUUGAAUCCUCAGCACCA